This 257-nucleotide ribosomal RNA is filed under the name uncultured bacterium. RNAcentral describes it as "partial 16S ribosomal RNA". It matches the Rfam family "Bacterial small subunit ribosomal RNA", at positions 524 to 774 of the family's 1533-position model. The record is from RNAcentral.
UACAGGGGGGCGAAGCGUUGUUCGGAAUUACUGGGCGUAAAGGGCUCGUAGGCGGCCAACUAAGUCCGACUGUGAAAUCCCCAGGCUUAACCUGGGAAACUGCGUCGGAUACUGGAUGGCUUGAAUUCGGGAGAGGGAUGCAGAAUUCCAGGUGAUGAGACGGGUGAAAUGCGUAGAUAUCUGGAGGAAUACCGGUGGCGAAGGCGGCAUCCUGGACCGACAUUGACGGCUGAUGAGCGAAAGCUAGGGAGCAAACG